RNAcentral lists this ribosomal RNA (433 nucleotides) under uncultured bacterium. RNAcentral's name for it is "partial 16S ribosomal RNA". It matches the Rfam family "Bacterial small subunit ribosomal RNA", at positions 29 to 507 of the family's 1533-position model. The record is from RNAcentral.
AACGAACGCUGGCGGCAUGCCUAACACAUGCAAGUCGAACGAGACCUUCGGGUCUAGUGGCGCACGGGUGCGUAACGCGUGGGAAUCUGCCCUUGGGUUCGGAAUAACAGCUGGAAACGACUGCUAAUACCGGAUGAUGACGUAAGUCCAAAGAUUUAUCGCCCAGGGAUGAGCCCGCGUAGGAUUAGCUAGUUGGUGGGGUAAAGGCCUACCAAGGCGACGAUCCUUAGCUGGUCUGAGAGGAUGAUCAGCCACACUGGGACUGAGACACGGCCCAGACUCCUACGGGAGGCAGCAGUAGGGAAUAUUGGACAAUGGGCGAAAGCCUGAUCCAGCAAUGCCGCGUGAGUGAUGAAGGCCUUAGGGUUGUAAAGCUCUUUUACCCGGGAUGAUAAUGACAGUACCGGGAGAAUAAGCCCCGGCUAACUCCGUG